GCCUUGCAUAAUACCACUUAAUAGUGGCUCUGUGAAUAAAAAAGUAAACCCCUACAGAGGUCUGUCAAGCAAUCAAUUUUCGUCAGCACAGCCCGCCCCCUCAAAGAGUUCCUGGUAGCUGUGGGAAGACCCUAUCCACCAGGCGGAAUGAAAUAAUCCAGGGGGAACCUUCAGUACCCUGGUACUUUUUUUCAGUUGGGACACAGGGAACUCAAGCUGCCAGGGAAGCUAGGGAAGUUCCUGCAAAGUCCUGCGGGGGGAAGGCCCCUAAGUAUACGUAGUUGAAAUUUGGGAGAAAUUAGACAAAAUCUUCAGCAAAUCUGUUUAUGAAAGACCCUAAGUGGCCACUUCAAACCAAAAUAGAAAACUUGCCUUUUUGGCAUUGGUUCUUUUUUGUUGUUGUUGGUCUACUCGUGAUAGUCAUGCUUACCAAAUUUCAUGUUGCUAUGUGACACUUUGGGGCUGAAUUUUCAGAGAUUCAGGGAAAGUCCUCAAAAUGGUGAUUUAUUUGGUCUAAGAAUUAUAACGACAAAGAAAUGAAGCAGCACAUGUUCGGGCCCUAAUUGCAGUGUGGUCUCUGUGGUAUCAAGUACACCAGAACAAAUACUGUUGACUCAAAUGAGUUCCUGAGCUGGAAAAUUGCUCCAGUCAAUAAUUUAUGUUAGCGUUUGUUGGCAAGUGUCCAGUCGUGUGUGCUGUACUGCGCUUUACCUCCUUGUCACUGUCACUAUAUUUCUCUGUCUCUGGAUGUUCCUCGACGGGGGACGAUCCCUGAGGGCGUGGUCUCUCGCCCUCUGUGAAAUGAGAUGGCUCGUCACAUGCCUGCAGACGAAACAGCAGUUUGUCACAGGCUUGUUACUUUUUCAACCUCCUUGGAUGACAACACGUCGAAAAAAGAUGUAACUAGAGAGAGGUGAAUCGCCGCGCUUUUGAGCGUCCUGAGGCCACCACGGUAGCGCGUCUGUGCAGCAGCAGCAGGAUGGCCGGCUCGCCAGAAGAGAUGAUGACAUCUCUGCAGACGACACACCCAGCGCUCACUGCAGCAGCGAACCAGACUGUGAUGGAAGAACACAGGACCAAUUCGAUGACCGCUGUGUAGAACUGCCAACUCAACAGCUCCCGUGGCAGGCCGUGCUUCCUCAGAAGGCGCAGGAACUACAUCCUCUGCUGGGCCUUUUUGAGGAUGGAGUUGAUGUUGAUCUCCCACUUCAGGUCCUGACAGACUGUAAUUCCCAGGAACUUGAAGGUCUCCAUCACCACUUGGAUAGGCAUCCUCUUUAGCCUAGCGUAGUUGUUGAAGUUUGGCAGUGAACCAUGGGUUGUUGUUAUUGAACAUGCGAAAAGUCUUUGUUGGUACGCACACACCUUCACAGAAACUGAUGUAGGAUGUGACACAGUCCGUAUAUUCAUCCAGGCUUCCAGUUGAAGUUUCAAAGACACUCCAGUCUGUGCAGUUUAAACAGCCUUGAAGUUCCAUCUUUGCUUCAUUGGUCCACUUCCUCACUGUUUUCACCGCAGGCUUCGCACAUUUAAGUUUGUGCCUGUAUGUUGGUUUUAAGUGAAUUGAACAGUGAUCAGACGAGCCCAGAGCUGUGCGGGGGAUAGAACGUCAUUUAGCCUGGUGUAGCUGUGUUCUAGAAUGUUCUUCUCCCUGGUGCGACAGUCGAUGUGCUGCUUGUAUUCAGGGAGUUGGUGGUUGAGUUUAGCUUUGUUAAAGUCCCCGAGAAUAAUGAGGGGUGAGUCCAGGUGUGCGGCAUUCAUAUUAGCCUGGGGGGGGGGGGAUGUAAACACCGGCGAGGAUAAAUGGAGCCAACUGACGCGUACAUGACGUACAGUUCAAAAACAGCGACUCCAAGUCCGGGCUGCAGUGUGUGUGGAGCUCCGUGACGUCAGUACACCAUUUUUCGUUGAUAUAGAAGCAUAUUCCGCCGCCUUUUGUUUUGCCAUCACAUGAUUUUGUUGAGCGAGUCAAAACAACAUGCAGGAGGAGCACGUGAAAAGUGAAUGGGACCGGUCAUAAAAUGGCAUCCCUAAUCCAUUUCUACGUGAAGAGUGCGUUUGCAUGUUCAGGUCACAUUCCAGACCUGGAUCUAACUCUCCACACUGUCUGUGGGGAGCCUUGUCAGUCACUUAAAGGAUAAUCAGAUCAAGAAACCUAUUUUCUCAUCUUUCUCCCGACACGUUCCCACAAGAGAAUUCCAAAGCCGAGGCUUUCAAACGCGUCUCGGGAGGUGGAAGCGACACUCUUUGUGUGCAUCUGCUGUCCUGGAACGCAGUUUUGUAGUCCAAUCAUCCCUGUGUAAUCCACAUUUGGACUUUGGUCGGACUAAAUGGCCACCUUGGCCUGUUUCUGCCCCAGUAUUUCAAAGCAUUUAAUCUGCAUCAGAUUGGUAUGGAUAGGAUUCAAUCUCAAAAUUUCAAACCAGGAUAUGUCAUUUUGAUCCUCGUAAAAUUGAGAUCUGGAUCUGGUAAACCACCCAGAAUCCUGAUCAAAUCCUGUUCUUGGGUAUUUCAUAAUUUCAAGGUGGAGAUCUUAUUUAAUUAGGUUUGAUGCUAAAUAUCACGAUUAUCCACAUCCCACUGGAAGGCUGUUUCAUUUGAAUUUCUUACAUUUUUAAUAUAUUAAUAAUAAUUAAGAUUACAUAAACAUAAGCCUACCUUCACAACCAAUUGCCACUUAUAAAAUUGAGCUCAAAAUUUGUUCACCAAAUAUUAUAAUUAAGGUAACCUUCAACAUCCCCAUCCUUACAGGCUUACAAUAAUAUUAAAUACACUUUUUUAUGAAAACUUAGACCUACUACCCUACCGUAUUUAAACAUCGGUACUUGGUGCACUUUAAUUCAAGAUACACUGAAGUGCAUUUUGUCUAAAAGAAUUGACUAUGAACAUAAUAUCAUGUUGAACACAACUUGAAGAACAGCAGUAUAAAAAUGUAAGAGGUAAAAAUACAAGUGGGAUGAAUGGAGGUAAUCGGCCAAUCCAAAAACCUCAAAUCUGGAUUUUGUAAUCCUGCUCUUGUUGAUCCUAUCCGAAAGUUCUUUGGAAAACCAAGACAAAAGCUACAAGUUCAGUUUGAUCGGGAAUAGCAGAAAAUAGAUUAUGCAAUCCGUAUCACUCUGAUCCAGAUUACUUGUAAAAAAUA
Phyllopteryx taeniolatus (common seadragon) is the source of this 3142-nucleotide long non-coding RNA. RefSeq lists it as uncharacterized. The transcript has 4 exons. Lineage: Eukaryota; Metazoa; Chordata; Actinopteri; Syngnathiformes; Syngnathidae. The record is from RefSeq and is a predicted model, not a curated record.